GGAUGUGAGGGUGAUCUGGCUGCGACAUUUGUCACCCAUAGAUUGCCAGGGUUGAUUCAGCUGAUCUGGCCGGCUAGGCGGGUGUCCCCUUCCUCCCUCACCGCUCCGUGUGCAUCCCUCCAGAAGCUGCGUGCUCGGUUGAAGAGGACGACCAUCCCUGAUAGGGGAGGACCAUUCUUUUCAGUCAAGGGUAUACAGGUAGCUGCACUCCCCCACUAGACCCUCCAAACAAGUUCUCAAGUAUUUGCAUACAUCUAAAUUGUGUAUUGACUUAAUAGCUGAGCUCCUUGGUUGCAAUGCUGUAUUUCUUU
This 311-nucleotide small nuclear RNA is filed under the name Camelus ferus (Wild Bactrian camel). RNAcentral describes it as "7SK RNA". It matches the Rfam family "7SK RNA". Rfam says of the family: 7SK was discovered as an abundant small nuclear RNA in the mid-70s but a possible function has only recently been suggested. Lineage: Eukaryota; Metazoa; Chordata; Mammalia; Artiodactyla; Camelidae. The record is from Rfam by way of RNAcentral.